This 332-nucleotide ribosomal RNA is filed under the name uncultured bacterium. RNAcentral's name for it is "bacterial SSU rRNA". It matches the Rfam family "Bacterial small subunit ribosomal RNA", at positions 568 to 898 of the family's 1533-position model. RNAcentral also lists the same sequence under 1 other name. The record is from RNAcentral.
CGUGUAGGCGGCUCCUUAAGUCUGAUGUGAAAGCCCCGGGCUCAACCUGGGAAGUGCAUUGGAAACUGGGGAACUUGAAUACGGGAGAGGGUAGUGGAAUUCCUGGUGUAGGAGUGAAAUCCGUAGAUAUCAGGAGGAACACCGGUGGCGAAGGCGGCUACCUGGACCGAUAUUGACGCUGAGACGCGAAAGCGUGGGGAGCAAACAGGAUUAGAUACCCUGGUAGUCCACGCCGUAAACGAUGAGUACUAGGUGUUGCGGGUAUUGACCCCUGCAGUGCCGCAGCUAACGCAUUAAGUACUCCGCCUGGGAAGUACGGUCGCAAGACUAAA